Phyllostomus discolor (pale spear-nosed bat) is the source of this 8198-nucleotide long non-coding RNA. RefSeq lists it as uncharacterized. The record is from RefSeq and is a predicted model, not a curated record. The transcript has 6 exons. NCBI's taxonomy places the organism in Eukaryota, Metazoa, Chordata, Mammalia, Chiroptera, Phyllostomidae.
GUUCACAGGCUGGUACUCAAUCCGCUGAGCCACACCAGCCAGGGCUAUAUAUUCUUUAUUUUGUAUAUAUAUGUAAGUAUUAGUUGAGAGUUGUCUGCCCAGGAAGGAACGUUAGUGCUUUCUGCAUUCUUUGUUCCAAAGCAGGUUGUGUGGCUAAGAUUCCCUACUCUCCCACUGUAUAUUGUUGUUCUGCAGAGUCAAUUGCCAGGAUACAAUAAAAAAGUUCCUGUUAAUUUUUUAUUAAGAAAGACAUACGAAUUGCAAAGUGGUAUUGAUAACCUGGUCAUUAACUUUUUGAAGUUAAAAACAUCAUCUACCUGAUGACCAGUGUCUCUCAUUUUACUAAGGGUGGUGGGUCUGUGGAUAGACCACUGUGACACUUAAGACCAGUAUUUUUGGGCUCUACCACCAUCUUUAAAACAUGCCUUGUUUGGGCUAUACAACCAUUCACUUUUAGAAAAACUACCUAAAUUUUCAAAUCCUUAAAUUUCUUCAUCUGAAACACCAACCAGCCCCUACUUAUUUCAAGAAGUUCAGUGUAAAAGAAUGAAAUGAGACAACACAUAUUGAAGUGCUUUUGAAAACCAUUGAUAACCUUAUUUGAUUAACAUAUUACAUGAAAUGCACCCUGUUUAAUUGUGCUCAUGUAAAGUAUUCUUAAGCACCACACUGAAGAGAGGACUUAAAAAUGAUGGCACCUGUUUCCCUGUUUUAUAUCACAAGAAAAUAAGCUAAGAUGUAAUCGGUCUUGUGGAUGUAAAUUCCAACAGUGACCCACCUGGUAAAAGUGAGUAGCCUAGCCUCUAGUGUGCAGGUUGUGGUGGCAGAGAAGUAUUUAAUAAGGAACUGCUGAAGCAAAUAACUAGUUAUUGCAACAGCAGUUCUUUGUAAUCACUGAAAAAGGGUACUAUUCCUCUGAACAGGAUGUCAAAUGGUCAGACCAGGUUAGGGUGCAGUUUGCACUACUAGCUCCUUGGACAGCUGUAAGAAGAGUCUCUGGCUCUUUAGAAUACUGGAUGAAUUCAGAGCCAGUUCUGAACCCCCACUCAGGAAGCACAAGUCAAUUUUAGGUGGAUUGAAGUCUGCACUAGAAAGCAUCCAAAGGACAUUAUGAGCAUGUAAGACCUGAGGAAUUCAAGCAGUUUUAAGAAGCUGUAUAUUCAGCAGAUCCUUCUUCUGAGAAUCUGGAUAAGCUUCAUCUAAUCUAAAGGUGCCUUGUAGGUCACCUGGAGAAAAAGAUCUUCCUCAGAAGAAUAGGCUUGUUGCUUUACAGUGUUAGUGACCCAUUCCCUUUGACGAUCCCUAGGUGGAGAUGGGGCAUGAGGAUCCUCCAAGGGAAAAGCUCACUACCAUUGGGCAACAAUCCUAGGCUAGGAGUUUCUAUCAAGAUUCUUUCUUGUGCCCAGAUAGGAAGGUGGAACCUCAAGAUAUCCUCCACGUUAGAGCUCCUGAUUGUUUCCUUCAUAUCUACCAAGUUAUCUUUCUCAAAAGCAAGGCAGAGGACAAGAAAUUGGAACACACCAAAAGAAGAUCAAUGUGCCUGGCACUCAAACAUUUUAGAACAGCAGAAUGAACUCUUGUGCCCCUUAGUGUAUGUUUGCUCUUCUACUUCUUACCCAUUUCUUCUAAAUGUCUGCCUUGGCUUAUCUCUUUCAUUUAUAAGUGUAUAUUUCUUUGCUUGUCUAUUUCUUCCUUGACUGUCCUUGGUCUUUGCUCUCUGAAGUGUGUCUUACCCACUUCCAUGUUCAUCUUGCUUGUUUGUUCUCUGUGUAUCUUUGUCUGAUUUUCCUUUUUGUCAUAACUUGUUUGUGUCUUGUCUUAGAUCUCUCAUUUUUUCAAUUUGUUACCGAUUAUUUUCACUCUCCCAGAUCAGGUUCUUUCAUUGUUCUUACCAUUGUGUCUGAGUCACAUGCUGUGUGCUUUUUUCUCACUCCUUGUCCUAUCUACCUCUCUCUCUUUUUUCCUCUUUGUGAAUUGUUAUUGUUUGUCGCCUUCUCCCCUUUUGUUGGUUUGACAUUUUACCUUUUUCUGAUUCUGGUCUCCCUUCUACUGUUUCUACUCUUUAUCUUGGAUUUCUCUUCUCUAUAUAUUCUUUCUGCCUCUCUUGGCUCAUUUUCAUUCUUUUGUCCUGCUCUGUGUGCCUCGGUGUCUCUUUGUUCUUUGUGAUCUUCCAUUUCAGUGCCUUUCCUCUCUUUGUUCUCCUGUUUUAUUGCUUUUCUUCUUCUACCCACUCUUGGGUUUUUCAGCAUCUUCAUGAGUCUGUGUCUCCCUUUUUCAUAUCCUGCAAUCAUCUUUCCUUGCAUAUUUUUUGUGAACAUGUGCAUGUAUACCCAUGUGUGCAUGUUUGUGUAUGUUUGUGACAAAGGGGUGUCCUAACCCCUUCCCAGUAGGUGCAGAGUAUCUGCUAUCAAAAUAAGCAUUGCAGAGCUGUUCCUGAUGCCAGGCUCUCCUGUGAAAUAAUCCAAAAUUAAUAGAAGGCCCAAGGAUCCAAAGACCUAAGGGCAGAAAAUGGAAGGCCCAUAAUGGAUAGAAGUCCCAAAGUAGAAGACAAGUGAGCUUGAGACUUGAGACCUGUGAACUACAAUGGAAAACUGGUGUCCCAAAACAGAUGGAAACCUCAGGCUCAAGACCAUCAGAAGGCCUGAGAGUCAUGACAUACAUACAGAAGAUGGCCCUCUGUUGGACAGAAGACCUGACUCAAUUGGAUAGACGUCUUAUGUCUUCAGUCAGACAGAAGGCUGAAGACCCAGGAUGGGUGGCUGAAGGCCUAGGAGCAGGGACACAUGGAAGACCUGAGAUUUGAAACACAAGGCCCAAUAACAGAGGAAAUGCCAAUAUGAGAACCCUAAACCUCAACUCUUUUCUACUCCUAUCAUCCAUACUCGUGAACAUUUCAGUUCUCUCUUUCUAGUUUUUAUAUCUCCAUUUAAACUCAUUUUGAGAUGCCCUUUUUGAUGUUGUUAUUAUCUUGAAGAGCUAUCUUUAGAUUGGAAAUAUUAUGUUGGGGCCAGUGUAAGCCAGGUUUUAUCACAGUUUUGAGUCAUUUGUUAAGGUCGAUAAUAUUUUUAACUUCCAUUACUCUUGGCAUUCACUCCAUUUGGGAGAGACUUAUUGAUGAAAUUGUAUUUCAGUCUUACUUUUUCCUCAGAAGCUCUAGGCUGAUGAGAAGAGGAAAGCAUCAGGCUACUGAGGAAAACAUGCCAGACUAUGUAAAGAAAAUGUAAAGGGAUGCUCCUGGGCAAUGAGAACGAUUAGAGAAGAAAUACACAGAUGUGCCAGCCUGUUCAGAAGCACUAGCCUGCAAACACCUGACUUCUUUGAGCUUGGGUGAGCAGGAUUCCUGGGGUUUGGAAUUUCCUAGUGAUGGUUACAAAAAAAAAAAAAAAGAAUAAGUGGGCCUGGAACAGAGUGUGGCCCCAAGGAGAUAGCCUGAACUCCCUGCUCAUAGUAGUGGCCUAAUAAUUUGGUAGUCUGCACUGAUCCUGCCUUUGUGUUUAAUACCAACCUGUAGGCUUAAAGGUGAGAGAAUUUAGUAGUAUUUAGGAGGCUUAAUCCUUUUCUUCAUUUCCCCCCCCUCUUACCAUGAAGGAAGAUCAUUUAAAUGAUUGAGAUUAUAUAUGAAAGCAAGGUAUUCUCAUUAAUACUGUAUUGGCAGCCAUGCAUUGCCAGUAUUUGAAAGAGUACUGUCUGUUGUGAAGCAUUAUGUACUUCGGGGGUUAUCAUACCCUUUCUGUAAAGGGUCAGAUGUUAAAUAUUUUAGUCUUUGCAGGCCAUAUGGUCUCUACAUUUUUUUACAAUCCUGUAGAAAGGAAAAACUAUUCUUAGCUUCUGAACCAAAUUGAUUUGGCCUGUGGGCCACAGUUACCUCUGAUGUAAAUGCCAGGCUCUGUGCUGAAUAAUAUUAAUUUCCUUGUGUGAGCCUGUCCUUGUGCUUGGCACUGAGGAAUUAAUGAUUAUUUAUGAUCACAUCCAGGUGACCUGAAUAAAAAUGUGUGAAUAUGGUUUUAAACUAUGACAGUGCUUAAAGACUUAACAAAUUUCAGAGUUGAUGAAUGAAUAUUGAUUAUGUAGUAUAUUCAUUCCACUGUAUAGGCACUGGAUGCAAGGAUUAGAAGAAGCAUGAAUAAAGUGCUUUGUCAAAAGUAUGUAAUACUAUGCAGAUAUUAGAAAUUAAGUGAUUGAUAAAUGAAAAAUUGAUAUAUUUGUAUCCAUGAUGUUUCUGCUCCUUUGAUGAUUUUGAGUAAAAAUACAGUAUUCCAGGUAGCAGAAAAGAAAACACAUGGAAACUGCUUUUAAAGCUAUAAAAGCUACACAGCGAACACAGGGACUCAUCUAUUGUGAUGACUUAUAAUGUGCCAGAUAACAUGCUAGGCACUAUGGAUAACAAAGGGGGAAAAAGUAUAUUCUCAAUAUAGAAUUAAAAGUUUUAGAUGAGGAGUACAUUUUAAAGUGCUUUGUAAACUAAAGCACUAAAUACCAAUGGGUUAAAUGUUUAUGAAUGAAUAAAUAUUAAUAGCCUUUUAUGGGCCAGCUAUUGUUUGAGGUUCUGUGAAAUCUAAAAUAAUGCUCUCAAGUAAUAAGGGGAGCUCUGCAUUAUUAGAUGUAAGGAAUUAGAUACUGCUUAUUUUAAUCAGUCAAGACUUAGCUGGUGAUGUCAAGUUAUUUCCAGUAUAUUUUCCCAUGUAACAGGAAAAUGUAAUGAAUGAGAUUGAAGCUUCUAAACUAUAAAAUGUUACAUAAACACAAGAAAUUAAAUGUUAUAUGUGUGAAUAAAACUGUGAGAUAAACAUUGUCUAUAAAAUUCUCACUGUGUGCUUGACUCACUAUGAGAAAGCUAGUAUAAAUAAUUAUACAAACUGAAGGUUUCAAUUCUUGUUGAGUGAAUGAAUCUCAGUUGCCUACUAUGUGAGCUCACUGUUGUAGGCACUAAAAAGAUACACAAAUUGUCAUUUCAUUGUGCCUACAGUUGAGAUAAAGGCAAUACAUGUUAGCAUUUUGCAAAGUCUAAAGCACCAUAUAAAUGUAACUAUUGAUUUUCUUAUUUGUUGCUGAUACUAGACUUAUAAAAUUGUAUCACAGCUACAAUGCUGUGAAAAAAGUUGGAAAAAUUUUGAGGAAGUAUUGUUAAGUACUGAAUACUUCGAAUAUAAUAUGUAAAAGAUUAUGUUUAUGAUGAAUGCAAGACUGGAUAAUAAUUAUCUGCCAGUCUUUUUGCUAGGCAUUGAGGGUCUGAAGAUGAACCAUCUUUAUUGCAAUUCAUAAGUCUUAAACAGCCGUGCAUAUAUAAGCAAUAUCUGCUGAAUGAAUAAGGAUGAUUUACUCCCUUCAUUCCCAGAGAUAGCAACUAGUAAUGCAAAAAUUCAUUCAUUACCCUUAUUACUGAACCUGUUACAGAGACUUGUGUGUAAAUAUAGAAAACCUAGUGUUCUAUACAGAUAUAAGGAAUUAACUUGGCUUAAUUAAUAAUGACUGAUUACUUUCUAUGAGGCUCAAAAUUACAUAUGCCCUAGUAUAUAAAAAUCAUUUUAUCCUUAUGGAAUGUUCACAGGAGGAAAUAAAGUAAUAUGUGUGAGAUCCACACUAAAAGGCACUUAACCACUGCUAGGCAUAUUUAAUGAUGAAAACAUGGGAAAAACAGAAUUACGCAAUGCAGUAUGCAAUAAAGGCCGGGCUAGGUGGAAAAAUACAAUCCAGACUGAAGUGCUACUUACUCCUUGUUAGCCUGAGUGAAGAGAUGGGAAUUUUUUUUGAAAAAAGCAAGGUGUCUUGGUUCUCCAUCAGUUUUUUUAAAUGCUGAAUGCUGAAGAUGGAGGUGAAUUAGAUCCACCCCGGCCUUGCUUAGACAUUUGAGGAUUAAAAAUACAUGACUCAGGUUUGCUUUUAGAUUCAUUUGACAAACAUGUCAUGUUUUAUGUGGAAUAUAUAAUUCUAAGCCCUGAACACAAAAAGUGAAAUGGGCCUGGUCAAAAGGUCUUUAGAUCACAGGUCAUAGUUGAAGAUAUGAAAACAUCUUUGAUUUUGAGUAAAUAUUUGUAGGCCUGUUUCCUGGGAAGUACUAUGCUUACUUAAUUAGUUGUGUAAGUAUAGUUCGGAAAAACUAUUGACUUGCCUUGGGAAUUAAAAAAUAGCAAAAAAAGGGGCAUGGUUCUUUUAAUAUAAAAUGAAGACAUGUUCUCUAGGCCUAGUCACAACUUCACUUGCUCAUUGGCCUAAGUUGAAGCCAGAACACUUAUAAAAAGGCUCAUGGUUUGUCCUUUAAUUCAUUAAUUUAAGAUUGUGCCUUUAUUAUAAACAGUUUAAGAUGAGAAUUGAGAUAAAACAAGUGGUUUUGUAACUAUUUGCUCAUUGGAUUGGCUUAAAAUGAGGAAACCUUUUGAGCAAUAAAAUUGUUCUAGUUUUUACAUAUAUUUUAAACACUUAUUUACUCUGAUUAAAGUACUGUCCUUAAGUGUUGAGGAGAGUGAAUAGAUUCAAAAGACCAAAAUGUACUUGAACCUCACUUGCUUAUGGUUGAAAUAUAAGAAUAAAUUUUAUGACUGCAGGUCUUUUCACUAGCUAAAAAUUCAUUGAGCAGCUGUGAUAGUAAGAUAUACCAAGAAGGAAUGAUUAAAUAGAUCACCUUUUUGGCGUCUUUUAUAGAGUGGGAAUGAGAGCUUUUUAUUUAUUCAUUCAUACAAACAUUGGAGAAGGUGAUGCUAAAUGAAAUAGAUCUGGCACAAAAGGCACUUUGUCUUGGAGAUGCAAUAAAAAACAAGGAAUGGAAUGAAAACUCAUUAAACAGAAGUGUCUAUUUCAAGGCAAUGUGCUAUUUACCAGACAAAUCAAAAAAGCUCUUAACUGAAAGUAAUUUGUUUUUAACUGGUUUGGAGACUAGAUAUAAAAGAGUUUCCAUUCACUUUUCAUUUGUUCAUUCAUUCUACAAGUGUAUUUGAGGACCUAUUGUAUAUAUGACUCUUUGCUCUGUACUCAGUUGACCCCAGAAACAUAAAAACAUGAAUGUUUUCCGAGAGAAAUUUUAAAACUUUACUUUUGGGUUGUUUUCUUUUUAGGAGUAUGGCUUAGCCCUUGAAUAACAUUGUGUGGUUUAAUUCCUACUCCAUAUUUCUUCUCUCACUCUGGCCACUACAAUAAGCAGGGUUUUCCACUGAGCUUCCUCCUUAAGUUGCAUGAACCCUCCUUAUAGGCACUUCAUUUUUCCUCUCUUGUCUCAUGAAAAUGGCUGUGGCCACUGCUAGGCAGAAGGAGGGGUGACAACUAAUUCCCAAACCCCAGUCUCAAUGGUACCAGACUUGGUGAACCACUCAUACUCAAGUCACUACCUUUACCAUUUAGUCUAUUUUCAAUUCUUUACAUUUUACAUUCUGAUAAGUAUAUACUGCCUAAAGAAAUCUCUGAAGAACAAUCCCCAGGUAGUACAUAGCAAGAUUGGAGAUGGAGACAUAAUUUCUCUUGCAACAGAUUUUAUACUUAAACCUUAGGUACUGCCUUAUCAGCAUCAAAACUGGCUCAUGAUUAAUUAAAUUAUUGUAAGUGAUAAGAAAAAAAACCCUGCUCAUGAAAGGACUUGUUAUGAUAGAAUAAUGUCGGAAUGAAAAUGGCUUAACAAUUUUUACAUUGCUUAAAUUUUAAGAAUAAUAAGAAUUGGAAGUAAUUGGCAAACAAAUCUACGCCCAAAUGGGCUUUGACCUUUUCUAUUUUGAAAUCACUCACAGAGGGUGGGAUAGGAGGAAGAGUGAAAGAAAAGGUCAAACCUGUUUAUAAGGCACCCUGCCUUUGUUUUAGAUUGGUUAAGAAACACUCCUUUUUAGGUGGGGAUUGGGUGCAUUAUUGGAAAAUGCAAAGGAGAGAGUAACUACAAGCCUUCUUUUCGCAGUCGCUGGUAUCCUAAGACUACCUACCACUACUGAUAAAACAAGAAUAAGAGAACAUGGUACCAUCAUCUGAUUUUUGUGACAUAAUGAAGUAGUGAACAAAUUCGUUUUUGUAAGAAAUGGCUACAUCUCUAUUCUUCUACUGAAAAGGGAACAUAUAUGCCAAAAUGGAAGAAACAUUUGGACUGGUGAACUGAUGUGAAUUGUAGAAUCUCUGAGCUUUGACUGUUGAAAAUGUACAAAUCAUGCUCAGCUUGGGUGACCAUCGCAACUAAGAUUAGGGAGUAUGUUUUCUAAUGUCAAAUAAAAUGUACUGUUUUGAAAACU